UGAACAGGCUCGGACUCCUCCGACGGCGCCGCGCCGCGCACAGAUGAGCCUUUGUGGGACCCCGCGGAAGGAGGCGCCGGCCGCAGCCACAUUCCUUUCCGGGCAAGCGCGGCCGCCGCCUGCAGGCACCGUCCGCCCCGCGCGCCCGCAGGCUCCUCCUGGAGGCGGGAGGCGGCGGCCGCUCGCACAGCGUGUUUUCUAAAGUUUCUGCUGACACAGCUUCGCGUACACAUGAGCCGGCGCGGCCAGACUCACGCAGGCACCGAGUGUUUCCCCUGCGCCGUCUCGCGCCGCCGCCCCGCUACCUCGCCGCGCGCCCCUAACCUCUGCGUCCCGCGUGGCGCGCCCAGCGCUUAAGGUUUUAUUUUUCCCCUACUUCCUUUGGUGCAUCUCUUUCCCCCUCUCAAAACCACCACCCAAACUUAAAGGCUGGAUGAGUUGGAACCCGUUCGCGUAAUUAAAACGAGUGGCUGACGGUGGAAAAGCCAGGAACUACAGACGAAGGACGCCAGCAGGGCCGCGGAGCCCAGGCCGCCAAGAACAGGGCGGGGAGGCGGGGCGGGGCCGCGGAAGGGGGCGAGGUGGAGGGGCGGGGCCGGCGGGAGGUGGGCGGGGCGAGGCUGGCAGGCCGCCGCCAUUGGCUGUUACCCGACGCACCGAGGCUGGGCGGCUUAGCCAGGCACUUGGAUUCUAUUUGUGUAAUAGCUGCUUCUUGGAGCCAAGUGCAUGCUCAUCAACCUUCCUUGCUGGGAAAACCAACUCACAGCAUUUUUUAAAAGCCGAGAAACGCCUAGGCUUGUAAAGUUUCAUCUCCUGCCUGUGCUUUCCUGUUCUUAAUUAAAUGCUGAAGAGUCUUGUCGGGAUAUUACUUUUCAUCCUGUCUCUGCCAUGGAGACUUUGGGAUCACUGGGUGGUCUCUUGGUCACUUGCAGGUGUUUUAGGUAGGAUGUUGCAAUCUGCAAUCUAGGAACAUUUGACGACUUUUUCAAGAAGAGCAAAUGCAUUGUGAGGAUAAACACUGAUUGGUUACUAUCUGUAGAGCAGGAUUAGCAGCUCUUUUUAGAUUUUGAGCUGCAAUCUCUUUUAAUAGUGCUUAAAUUGAUGCAGAUUGGCCUUUUCCAGAAUGUCAUAUGAAUGGAAUCAUACAAGUCAUUUUUUCUUAGCUUCAAACUUAUUAGUUUACCUAAUUAAAUAGAUUCUUCAAAAUAAGUUUCCUCUAACACAAUAAUUCAUCUUAAGAGUACUAAGUUUAUCAAAUGCUUUUUGAUUGCAUAGAUGUAUUUUUCAUUGUUACCAAUAUUUAUUGGGUCCCUGUAUAGAGACAAGGUUUUAGUUCAUUUCCAAUACAUUCAGAGGACGGCCGCUGUACUCAGCAGCACGAGGCUACCGUGCGUGUUCUUUCCACUGCUGGCUAACGGUGCACUGAGCGAUUUCAGCAAGCCAUGUCCUUCAGCCGUCAUGUGGUCUGUCAUGCUAAUGAGGAGAACGAGGAGAAUUAAUAAGUAAAAGAGGAAUGCUG
RNAcentral lists this long non-coding RNA (1519 nucleotides) under Homo sapiens (human). Its description in RNAcentral is "HSALNT0337994". Lineage: Eukaryota; Metazoa; Chordata; Mammalia; Primates; Hominidae. The record is from RNAcentral.